Molecule: regulatory RNA element, 64 nt
Organism: Colius striatus (speckled mousebird)
Lineage: Eukaryota; Metazoa; Chordata; Aves; Coliiformes; Coliidae
Rfam family: Selenocysteine insertion sequence 1
About the family: The incorporation of selenocysteine into a protein sequence is directed by an in-frame UGA codon (usually a stop codon) within the coding region of the mRNA. Selenoprotein mRNAs contain a conserved secondary structure in the 3' UTR that is required for the distinction of UGA stop from UGA selenocysteine.
Source: Rfam
CUUGCAUUUGUGAGGACAGGAACAUAAACUACGUCCUAGGGGUUCCUGUCUGAUGUCUUGCAAU